RNAcentral lists this long non-coding RNA (1220 nucleotides) under Ornithorhynchus anatinus (platypus). RNAcentral's name for it is "lncRNA (ENSOANG00000047825.1)". The record is from RNAcentral. Lineage: Eukaryota; Metazoa; Chordata; Mammalia; Monotremata; Ornithorhynchidae.
CCUCUGUCCUCUGCCGCCCAGUGUCUCCGCUGUGCUGACCGACUGCAUUUCUGACACUCUCUUGCAGUGAUGCAGCCAGUGACGGCAGUGCUGAAAGCCCACUGGCGUGUUUGCAGCCUGUCUGCCUGCAGCCCUUUCUAUGGCUCUUUCCAGUUUCCCUCUGAUUUAUUCUCACACUGAGCCACGAGAGAACUGAGGGGGCUGUUGUUGGACCUCUUGCCAAAGGGAAAAUGGAGGAUCUUCCCAUUUCUGUCAACCUCGGAUGAGGCACCGCUCCUGCCCAUCCCGUCCCCCAGCCUGCCCUGUGCCUGUCCUCCACCCAUCAGCAUCAUUUGUUCUUCCUCUAGACUGGAAGCUCGUCGUGGGCAAGGGGCGUGUCUACCACCUCUGUACUCUCCCAAGCGCUAGGACAGUGCUCUGCACGCAGAAAACUCUCAAAUGAUUUGAUUCCGGGCAGGGCAGGCGUUCAGAGUGACUAGAUUUCAUCCAGGUCUCACGGCUGGUUGGCUUGGGAAAAGUCACCAUGGUUUCUGGAUUCGUGUCAACCAGGAAGGGUAGGAAUUUAGACUGGGCUCCCCCGAAGGCUUGGGGCGGGCCUGGGGACUUAGGGCUGCCUCUGGACAGCCUCUCUUCGGCAGACUCGUGAUAUUUUGGAAGAGAGGGUGGACCUUGCAGAUGAACAUUCCUACUCUGCCAUCGCUAGAGGGUAGUAGUGGCCAGAGGAGAAUGCAAAGCGAAUCCCUCCUGCAGGAUGAAGAGCCAUUGUUCAGGCCCGAGGGAUUGGGUGUGGUGGGUUCACGAGAAUGGGCAGCCCUCUUCUGAGCGAAGGAAAGCUGCUGUGCCUUCGUGGCUCCGGAUCUGGGACCCUAAAUGUCCCAAGGAGAAGAGGAGGGUGGAGAGAUCCAGCUGAAGGUAUAGAAGUCUCCUCUCAGAGCAGUCCUGAUCUCAAGGACGUCUGUCCCACCGGUCCCAAAUGGUCAAUCGCAAAAAAGGUCUUGCUGCCUGUGUGGUGCUGGGCUUUGAAAUUCUCAAGUGAGCAGCGGGAGAUUCAUGCAGCUCUUAUUGUGAUGUUCUUAUUUGAAGCACUCAGAGUUUCCUGCCCAAGAGCCCAGCAGCAAAUAGAAUCAAACAUAUUGCCUGCAGCACCAUGGAAAAGAGACCGGGCCGUGAUGGAGAUCAAAUCUACUCCGUCGGGUAGGAUCCUCAAUAAAUACCACUGA